Molecule: ribosomal RNA, 253 nt
Filed under: uncultured bacterium
Lineage: Bacteria
Description: partial 16S ribosomal RNA
Rfam family: Bacterial small subunit ribosomal RNA
Source: RNAcentral
GACGUAGGGUGCGAGCGUUGUCCGGAUUUAUUGGGCGUAAAGAGCUCGUAGGCGGCUCGUCGCGUCAGCUGUGAAAACCCGCGGCUUAACCGUGGGCUUGCAGCUGAUACGGGCGGGCUAGAGUUCGGUAGGGGAGACUGGAAUUCCUGGUGUAGCGGUGAAAUGCGCAGAUAUCAGGAGGAACACCGGUGGCGAAGGCGGGUCUCUGGGCAGUAACUGACGCUGAGGAGCGAAAGCGUGGGGAGCGAACAGG